GGACCCGCACAAGCGGUGGAUGAUGUGGAUUAAUUCGAUGCAACGCGAAAAACCUUACCUACCCUUGACAUGUCAGGAAUUUUGCAGAGAUGCGAAAGUGCUCGAAAGAGAACCUGAACACAGGUGCUGCAUGGCUGUCGUCAGCUCGUGUCGUGAGAUGUUGGGUUAAGUCCCGCAACGAGCGCAACCCUUGUCAUUAGUUGCUACGCAAGGGCACUCUAAUGAGACUGCCGGUGACAAACCGGAGGAAGGUGGGGACGACGUCAAGUCCUCAUGGCCCUUAUGGGUAGGGCUUCACACGUCAUACAAUGGUUGGUACAGAGGGUUGCGAACCCGCGAGGGGAAGCUAAUCCCAAAAAACCAAUCGUAGUCCGGAUUGCAGUCUGCAACUCGACUGCAUGAAGUCGGAAUCGCUAGUAAUCGCGGAUC
This 429-nucleotide ribosomal RNA is filed under the name uncultured bacterium. RNAcentral's name for it is "bacterial SSU rRNA". It matches the Rfam family "Bacterial small subunit ribosomal RNA", at positions 917 to 1350 of the family's 1533-position model. The record is from RNAcentral.